Molecule: ribosomal RNA, 496 nt
Filed under: uncultured bacterium
Lineage: Bacteria
Description: partial 16S ribosomal RNA
Rfam family: Bacterial small subunit ribosomal RNA
Source: RNAcentral
AUGAACGCUGGCGGCGUGCCUAAUACAUGCAAGUCGAGCGAACAGACGAGGAGCUUGCUCCUCUGACGUUAGCGGCGGACGGGUGAGUAACACGUGGAUAACCUACCUAUAAGACUGGGAUAACUUCGGGAAACCGGAGCUAAUACCGGAUAACAUGUUGAACCGCAUGGUUCAACAGUGAAAGACGGUCUUGCUGUCACUUAUAGAUGGAUCCGCGCCGCAUUAGCUAGUUGGUAAGGUAACGGCUUACCAAAGCAACGAUGCGUAGCCGACCUGAGAGGGUGAUCGGCCACACUGGAACUGAGACACGGUCCAGACUCCUACGGGAGGCAGCAGUAGGGAAUCUUCCGCAAUGGGCGAAAUCCUGACGGAGCAACGCCGCGUGAGUGAAGAAGGUCUUCGGAUCGUAAAACUCUGUUAUUAGGGAAGAACAAAUGUGUAAGUAACUAUGCACGUCUUGACGGUACCUAAUCAGAAAGCCACGGCUAACUACGUG